GUACGACGGCAGCACAGGACUUCGUGUCUUGUGUGGAGCGGCAGACGGGUGAGUAAUGUAUAGGAGUGUGCCUGGUAGCGGGGGAUAACUACCCGAAAGCGUCGCUAAUACCGCAUACGCCCUACGGGGGAAAGCAGGGGAUCGCCAGACCUUGCUCUUGCGGAUGGGCCUAUGCCGGAUUAACUAGUUGGUGGGGUAACGGCUCACCCAGGCGACGAUCCAUACCUGGUUUGAGAGGAAGACCAGCCACACUGGGACUGAGACACAGCCCAGACUCAUACCGGAGGCAGCAGUGGGGAAUUUUGGACAAUGGGGGAGAGCCUGAUCCAGCCAUCCCGCGUGUGUGAAGAAGGACUUCGGAUUGUAAAGCACUUUUGGUUGGGAAGAAAGAUCGCGGGUUAAUACCCCGCCGAACUGACGGUACCUGCACAAUAAGCACCGGCUAACUACGUGCCAGCAGCCGCGGUAAUACAUAGGGUGCAAGCGUUAAUCGGAAUUACUGGGCGUAAAGCGCGCGCACGCGGUUCGGAAAGAAAGAUGUGAAAUCCCACAGCUUAACCUGGGAACUGCAUUUUUAAACUACCUGGCUAGAGUGUGUCAGAGGGAGGUGGGAAUUACUCUGUGUAUGAGGUGAAAUGCGUAUAUAUACGGAUGAACACCUAUGGCGAAGCAGACCUCCCUGCGACUAACACUGACACUCACGCACGAAAGCGUGGGGAGCAAACAAGAAUAAAUACACUGGCUAGUCCACGCCCUCAACGAUGUCAACUAACUGGUGGGGGUGUGCGGGCCUUGGUAGCGCAGCGAGCGAGUGAAGUUGCCCGCGGAGGGAGUCCGCAAGCAAGAAUCUCAAUCAAAUGAAUGGGGGCCCACCCACGCAAGCGAUCGAUGAUGUGGAUUAAUUCGAACCAGAAGAACAAUCCUUGCCUUUCACUUCCACAUAUGUAAUCAGAAAGAGAUUUGGCAGUGCGGGCAAGAGAACCCGGGCACAGCUGGGCUAUGGUCGUCGUCAGCUGGGAUAGUGAGAUUUAGGUCCAAGUCCGGCCACGACCGCAACCCUUGUCAUUAGUCGGUACGGAAGGGCACUCUAAGGAGACUGCCGGUGACAAACCGGAGGAAGGUGGGGAUGACGUCAAGUCAUCAUGGCCCUUAUGGCCAGGGCUUCACACGUCAUACAAUGGUCGGGACAGAGGGUCGCCAACCCGCGAGAUGGAGCCAAUCCCAGAAAACCGAUCGUAGUCCGGAUCGCAGUCUGCAACUCGACUGCCGUGAAGUCGGAAUCGCUAGUAAUUCGCGGAUCAGCAUGUCGCGGUGAAUACGUUCCCGGGUCUUGUACACACCGCCCGUCACACCAUGGGAGUGGGUUGCACACAGAAGUAGUUAGCCUAACGCACAGGAGGGCGCUACCACGGUGUGAUCAUGACUGUUGUGAAGUCG
This 1437-nucleotide ribosomal RNA is filed under the name Achromobacter agilis. RNAcentral describes it as "bacterial SSU rRNA". It matches the Rfam family "Bacterial small subunit ribosomal RNA". The record is from RNAcentral. Lineage: Bacteria; Pseudomonadati; Pseudomonadota; Betaproteobacteria; Burkholderiales; Alcaligenaceae.